ACUGCAGGCACAAGCCGGGACGCCGCGGGUUUAAACGUGCGCGUGAGGUGACCAGGGCGCGUGCGCGAGGGUGUGGGGGGAAUGGGAGGGGCAGCAGCCGUCUUCCGGGGGGGAGGGGCGGCGAGGCGAGGCCUGCGGAGCGGAGGAAGACAAACAUAAAGAUGAAGUGCUUAAUUCAAGGUCACACAAUGUCGGGGAUGGACCUCCAGAUUUCCUUACUGACCUGCAUUAUCUUGUGGAUACCUGAGUGAAUUCCACACCACCCAUUUUAUAGAUGAAACCACUGAGACAUGGAGCAACUGACUGAGUAGUCACUGCCCCACCCCUGCCUGGAGCCUCACACAUGACUCGUCUCCUCUCAGUGACCACAGUACUUAUCCUGUAUUACAUGAAGGAAAUGAAAUAAAAAGACUGCAACCC
This 420-nucleotide long non-coding RNA is filed under the name Pan troglodytes (chimpanzee). RNAcentral's name for it is "long non-coding RNA NONPTRT010529". The record is from RNAcentral. Lineage: Eukaryota; Metazoa; Chordata; Mammalia; Primates; Hominidae.